GUCAGAUUGAACGCUGGCGGCAUGCCUUACACAUGCAAGUCGAACGGCAGCACGGGGGGUAACCCCUGGUGGCGAGUGGCGAACGGGUGAGUAAUAUAUCGGAACGUACCCUGUAGCGGGGGAUAACGCGUCGAAAGAUGUGCUAAUACCGCAUACGACCUACGGGUGAAAGCGGAGGACCGCAAGGCUUCGCACUAUAGGAGCGGCCGAUAUCGGAUUAGCUAGUUGGCGGGGUAACGGCCCACCAAGGCGACGAUCCGUAGCUGGUCUGAGAGGAUGAUCAGCCACACUGGAACUGAGACACGGUCCAGACUCCUACGGGAGGCAGCAGUGGGGAAUUUUGGACAAUGGGCGCAAGCCUGAUCCAGCCAUGCCGCGUGAGUGAAGAAGGCCUUCGGGUUGUAAAGCUUCUUUCGGCGGGGACGAAACGGUCCGUGCUAAUACCACGGACUACUGACGG
This 460-nucleotide ribosomal RNA is filed under the name uncultured bacterium. Its description in RNAcentral is "bacterial SSU rRNA". It matches the Rfam family "Bacterial small subunit ribosomal RNA", at positions 23 to 475 of the family's 1533-position model. The record is from RNAcentral.